Solanum stenotomum is the source of this 2290-nucleotide RNA transcript. It is a transcript of the gene named auxin transporter-like protein 4, with no coding region annotated. The transcript has 8 exons. Lineage: Eukaryota; Viridiplantae; Streptophyta; Magnoliopsida; Solanales; Solanaceae. The record is from RefSeq and is a predicted model, not a curated record.
UUUAUAAAUACGUUUACUUGAAAAUACUACUACUGAAAAGUGACUUUUUCUUGCUCUGUUUCUACUUCUACGUCUACUUUCUAGUCUGUGCACUACUAAUAUACUCUCUGAGUCCUUUUUUUGCUGUUUUUAAGGUCUCUUUCGCCGUCUUUCUGAUUCGGCCGCGCCCCUGCCGCCCUGCUAAUAUCCGUAUCUUCUCUGAUUAUAAAUAUAAAAUCAACUGCAUUUAAGUCGACUUCGCAAUUAAUUGUAGUUUCAGAAAUAAUAUUUAUUUUGUUGCUGCAAUUAUUAUUCAGCUACAUUUAUAGUAUCUGUCAUAUUCUUGAAAUGGAGCAAUCUUCGAAACUUGUUUUGUUAUCUCUGCUUCACUAGUGGGUUUUUUUUCCUUCUUUCUCUCUUGCUCUGUUUUUUUCAGUAGUGCUCUGUUUUUUGUUUUCACUUCGAGGACACAAAACAUACAGAAUAAUAGCUAAGGAGGAGUCUUUUUUUUUUGCUUCAACAGAGAUCUAUCUGAGUUUCAAGAAAGAGAUAUCUCAAAAUCAAGAUCUGCUGAAAUUUCGACCUCUUCUCUUUAAAAUUAAAAUGUAUGCUGAAAAGCAAGCAGAGGAAGCUAUUGUUUCAAACUUCAAUGGAACUGAUCGUGAUGGGGAGGAAGUUGAGAAAUUAGGUGAAGAAGAUCAGUUUAUUUUCAGUGUCAAAAGCCUCUUCUGGCAUGGUGGCUCUGUUUGGGAUGCUUGGUUCAGCUGUGCUUCUAAUCAAGUUGCUCAAGUGCUGUUAACACUGCCAUAUUCAUUUUCUCAACUUGGUAUGGUAUCUGGCAUAGUGUUUCAAGUGUUCUAUGGUCUUGUUGGGAGCUGGACUGCAUACCUCAUCAGUGUUCUCUACAUAGAGUACAGAAGCAGAAAAGAGAAAGAAGGUGUCAACUUCAAAAAUCAUGUCAUUCAGUGGUUUGAAGUGCUUGAUGGACUAUUGGGUCCUUACUGGAAAGCAGCAGGCCUUGCCUUCAACUGUAUGUUCCUUCUGUUUGGAUCUGUCAUACAACUAAUUGCUUGCGCAAGUAACAUAUAUUACAUCAAUGACCAUUUAGACAAGAGAACAUAGACAUACAUAUUUGGAGCUUGCUGUGCCACCACAGUUUUCAUUCCUUCUUUCCAUAACUAUAGGAUUUGGUCUUUUCUUGGCCUUGGGAUGACCACUUAUACAACAUGGUACUUAACUAUUGCUGCUGUCAUUCAUGGCCAGGUAGAAAAUGUACAACACACAGCUCCAGCAAAGCUUGUGCUGUAUUUCACUGGUGCCACCAAUAUUCUUUACACCUUUGGUGGACAUGCUGUUACUGUGGAAAUUAUGCAUGCAAUGUGGAAACCCCAGAAGUUCAAGUACAUUUACCUAAUAGCCACACUCUACGUUUUCACCCUAACUAUUCCAUCAGCUUCAGCAGUCUACUGGGCUCGGAGAUCAACUUCUUAACCAUAGUAACGCAUUUUCACUUCUUCCAAAAAACAGAUGGCGCGAUGCUGCAGUUAUAUUGAUGCUAAUACACCAGUUUAUCACGUUUGGAUUCGCGUGUACGCCGUUAUACUUUGUGUGGGAGAAGGUUAUAGGGAUGCAUGACACUAAAAGCAUAUGCUUAAGGGCACUUGUUAGGUUGCCUGUGGUGAUACCCAUAUGGUUUUUGGCUAUUAUAUUCCCAUUCUUUGGGCCUAUUAACUCUGCUGUUGGGGCUCUUUUGGUUAGUUUCACUGUCUACAUCAUUCCAGCUCUUGCUCAUAUGCUCACUUAUAGAACAACCUCUGCUCGACAGAAUGCAGCAGAAAAGCCAUCAUCCUUCAUGCCAAGCUGGACUAUCAUGUAUGUUGUUAACAUUUUUAUAGUAGGCUGGGUUUUGGUUGUUGGGUUUGGGUUUGGUGGAUGGGCCAGUAUGAGUAAUUUCAUCAAACAAGUUGAUACAUUUGGCCUUUUUGCAAAAUGUUACCAAUGUAAACCUCCGGUGGGCCAGCCACCACAUCUGGCACCUCAGGCCACCAUGCACAACUAGGAAUACUGACUUGGAUCCACCACGCCAAUAUGUUGGAGAAGUCAACGAUCGAACUGUUCUUCAAAUAUUUUUGCAUGUAACCCAAAAUGUGUUAGUGUGUUAAUCUUCAUUUUCUUUUGUUUGUGUUUUGACUUUUUGUUCUCAUAUUAGAUAUGAUUAUUAACGUGUCGAAUUGCUGACUAAUUGGCUAUCAAAGGAUUAGCUAAUUAUUUGAAUCAACAUGUGCUAAUGUUAAUUAGUUCUUUUGUUCAA